GACGGAGGAUGCAAGCGUUAUCCGGAAUGAUUGGGCGUAAAGCGUCCGCAGGUGGCAGUUCAAGUCUGCUGUCAAAGACCGGGGCUUAACUUCGGAAAGGCAGUGGAAACUGAACAGCUAGAGUAUGGUAGGGGCAGAGGGAAUUCCUGGUGUAGCGGUGAAAUGCGUAGAUAUCAGGAAGAACACCUAUGGCGAAGGCAGCUCUCUGGGACGGUACUGACGCUGAGACGCGAAAGCGUGGGGAGCGAACAGG
Molecule: ribosomal RNA, 253 nt
Filed under: uncultured bacterium
Lineage: Bacteria
Description: partial 16S ribosomal RNA
Rfam family: Bacterial small subunit ribosomal RNA
Source: RNAcentral